RNAcentral lists this ribosomal RNA (3586 nucleotides) under Plenodomus biglobosus/Leptosphaeria biglobosa 'brassicae' group. Its description in RNAcentral is "eukaryotic LSU rRNA". It matches the Rfam family "Eukaryotic large subunit ribosomal RNA". The record is from RNAcentral. Lineage: Eukaryota; Fungi; Ascomycota; Dothideomycetes; Pleosporales; Leptosphaeriaceae. RNAcentral also lists the same sequence under 1 other name.
AUAACUUUUAACAAUAGAUCUCUUAGUUCUAGCAUUAAUAAAGAACGCAGCGAAAUACGAUAAGUAGUGUGAAUUGUAGAAUUUAGUAAAUUAUUAAAUCUUUAAACGCAUAUUACGCCCCUUAGUAUUCUAUAGGGCAUGCCUGUUUAAGCGUUAUUUGUACCCUUAAGCUCUGCUUGGUGUUAGGUGUUUAUUCUACUUAGGACUCGCCUUAAAAUAAUUAGUAGCUAGCAUAUUAGCCUAGAGCGCAGCACAUUUUACGCCUCUUGUUAUGGUUGUUAGCAUCUAUUAAGACACUUUUUAAGCUCUUAACCUUAGAUUAGGUAGGGAUACCUACUAAACUUAAGCAUAUUAAUAAGCAGAGGAAAAGAAACUAAUAGGGAUUGCCCUAGUAACGGCGAGUGAAGCGGCAAUAGCUUAAAUUUGAAAUCUAGCUCUUUUAGGGUCCAAGUUGUAAUUUGCAGAGGGCGCUUUAGCAUUAGCAGUGGUCCAAGUUCCUUAGAAUAGGACGUCACAGAGGGUAAGAAUCCUAUACGUAGUCGCUAGCCUUCGCCGUGUAAAGCCCCUUUAAUAAGUCAAGUUAUUUAGGAAUGUAGCUCUAAAUAGGAGGUAAAUUUCUUCUAAAGCUAAAUACUAGCUAGAGACUAAUAGCGUAUAAGUAGAGUAAUUAAAAGAUAAAAAGCACUUUAGAAAGAGAGUUAAAUAGCACGUGAAAUUGUUAAAAGGGAAGCGCUUGCAGCUAGACUUGCCUGUAGUUGCUUAUCUAGGCUUUUGUCUAGUGCACUCUUCUACAGGCAGGCUAGCAUUAGUUUAGGCAGUUAGAUAAAGGUCUCUGUCACGUACCUCCCUUUAGGGAGGCCUUAUAGGGGAGACAACAUGCAACUAGCCUAGACUAAGGUCUGCGCAUCUACUAGGAUGCUAGCGUAAUAGCUAUAAGCGGCCUAUCUUAAAACAUAGACUAAGGAGUCUAACAUCUAUAUAAGUGUUUAGGUGUUAAGCCUAGACGCGUAAUAAAAGUAAACAGAGGUAGGAACCCUUUUAGGGUGCACUAUUAACUAAUCCUAAUAUCUUUAGAAGGAUUUAAGUAAGAGCAUAGCUAUUAGGACCUAAAAGAUAGUAAACUAUGCUUAAAUAGGGUGAAGCUAGAGGAAACUCUAGUAGAGGCUCGCAGCGGUUCUAACGUGCAAAUCAAUCGUUAAAUUUAGGCAUAGGGGCGAAAGACUAAUUAAACUAUCUAGUAGCUAGUUCCUGCUAAAGUUUCCCUUAGGAUAGUAGUAACGUAUUUAGUUUUAUAAGGUAAAGCGAAUAAUUAGAGGCCUAGGGGUUAAAACAACCUUUACCUAUUCUUAAACUUUAAAUAUAUAAGAAGUCCUUAUUACUUAAUUAAACGUAGACACUUAAAUGUACUAUUACUAGUAGGCUAUUUUUAGUAAGCAGAACUAGCGAUGUGGGAUAAACUAAACGUAGGGUUAAGGUGCUAGAAUGCACGCUUAUUAGACACUACAAAAGGUGUUAGUUUAUCUAGAUAGCAGGAUAGUAGCUAUAGAAGUUAGAAUCUACUAAGGAGUGUGUAAUAACUUACCUGCUAAAUAAACUAGCCCUAAAAAUAGAUAGCGCUUAAGCGUGUUACCUAUACCCCGCCGCUAGGGCAAGAUUUAAGCCCUAGCAAGUAGGCAGGCGUAGAGGCUCGUGACAAAGCCUUAGGGGUAACCCUAGGUAGAAUGGCCUCUAGUGCAGAUCUUAGUAGUAGUAGCAAAUACUUAAAUAAGAACUUUAAGGACUAAAGUAGGGAAAGGUUCUAUAUAAAUAGCAGUUAGACAUAGGUUAGUUAAUCCUAAGAGAUAGGGUAAUUCUAUUUUAAUGUUAGUGCUUACGCCGCGCCCUUAAAAGGGAAGCUAGUUAAUAUUCUAGCACCUAGAUGUAGAUUCUCCACAGCAACGCAACUAAGAGCGGAGACCUUAGCAGGAGCCCUAAGAAGAGUUCUCUUUUCUUCUUAAUAGUCUAUUACCCUAAAAUUAGUUUGUCUAGAGCUAGGGUUUAAUAGCUAGAAAAGCGCUACACUUUUAUGGCGUUUAGUGCGCUCCUAACAAGCCUUAAAAAUCUACUUAAAGAAAUAGUUUUUACGCUAGGUCGUACUUAUAACUAUAGCAGGUCUCUAAGGUAAAAAGCCUCUAGUUAAUAGAAUAAUAUAGAUAAGGGAAGUUAGCAAAAUAGAUCUGUAACUUUAGAAAAAGGAUUAGCUCUAAGGGUUAGGUACGUUAGGCCUUAGGGAGAAGCCUCUAGCGCAGAAGGGCACUAACCGCAAGGUAGGCGCCUCUUAGCGCUAGGGUGCAGACACCCUUAGCAGGUUUCGGCCGUCUAGCGUACGUUUAACAACUAACUUAGAACUAGUAUAGAUAAGGGGAAUCUAACUAUCUAAUUAAAACAUAGUAUUGCAAUAGCUAGAAAGUAGUAUUAAUAUAAUGUGAUUUCUGCCUAGUGCUCUAAAUAUUAAAGCAAAGAGAUUUAACCAAGCGCGGGUAAACAGCAGGAGUAACUAUAACUCUCUUAAGGUAGCUAAAUACCUUGUUAUCUAAUUAGUAACGCGCAUAAAUAGAUUAACAAGAUUCCUACUAUCCCUAUCUACUAUCUAGCAAAACCACAGCUAAGGGAACAGGCUUAGCCAAAUUAGCGGGGAAAGAAGACCCUGUUAAGCUUAACUCUAGUUUAAUAUUAUAAAAAGACAUAGGGGGUGUAGAAUAGGUAGGAGCUUUAGCGCUAGUGAAAUACUACUACCCUUAUUGUUUUUUUACUUAUUUAAUAAAGCAGAGCUAGGCCUUACUGCCUAACUUCUAGCGUUUAAGGUCCUUUAUAGGCUAAUCUAGGUUAAAGAUAUUAUUAGGUAGGGAGUUUAGCUAGGGCGGCAUAUCUGUUAAACUAUAACGCAGGUGUCCUAAGGGGGACUUAUAGAGAAUAGAAAUCUCUAGUAGAGCAAAAGGGCAAAAGUCCCCUUGAUUUUGAUUUUUAGUGUGAAUACAAACUAUAAAAGUGUGGCCUAUUAAUCCUUUAGUCCCUUAAAAUUUAAGGCUAGAGGUGCUAGAAAAGUUACCACAGGGAUAACUAGCUUGUGGCAGCCAAGCGUUUAUAGCGACGUUGCUUUUUAAUCCUUUAAUAUUAGCUCUUCCUAUUAUACUAAAGCAGAAUUUAGUAAGCGUUAGAUUGUUCACCUACUAAUAGGGAACGUAAGCUAGGUUUAGACCAUUGUAAGAUAGGUUAGUUUUACCCUACUAAUAACCUUGCCCUAAUAGUAAUACUACUUAGUACGAGAGGAACCGCGGUUUUAGAUAAUUAGUUUUUGCGGCUAUCUAACUAGGUAUUGCCGCGAAGCUACUAUCUGCUAGAUUAUAGCUAAACGCCUCUAAGUUAGAAUCUAUGCUAGAAUAGGGUGAUUUCCACCUACACUAGUUAGAUACAAAUAGGCCUUUGGCCCAGAACCUUACUAGAUUAGCGUUAGCAGCCCUAUUAAAGUUAGGGUUAUUAGCUAGUGUAUUGUAAUUGUACAGUGCGCAGGAUUAAAUCCUUUGCAGAUAACUUAGUUGUCUAGCUA